This 517-nucleotide ribosomal RNA is filed under the name uncultured bacterium. Its description in RNAcentral is "bacterial SSU rRNA". It matches the Rfam family "Bacterial small subunit ribosomal RNA", at positions 8 to 518 of the family's 1533-position model. The record is from RNAcentral.
AGAGUUUGAUCCUGGCUCAGGAUGAACGUUGGCGGCAGGCUUAAUACAUGCAAGUUGAACGGUAACAUGUUGUAGCAAUACGAUGAUGACGAGUGGCGCACGGGUGCGUAACACGUGUGUAACCUACCUUAUACAGGAACAUAACGUUGAGAAAUCGGCGCUAACAUUCCAUAAUAUUAUUUGUAGGCAUCUAUGAAUAAUUAAAACUCCGGUGGUAUAAGAUGGGCACGCGUUCCAUUAGCUAGUUGGUAAGGUAACGGCUUACCAAGGCAACGAUGGAUAGGGGUUCUGAGAGGAUAAUCCCCCACACUGGAACUGAGACACGGUCCAGACUCCUACGGGAGGCAGCAGUAAGGAAUAUUGGGCAAUGGAGGCAACUCUGACCCAGCCAUGCCGCGUGCAGGAAGACGGCCCUAUGGGUUGUAAACUGCUUUUAAUAGGGAUUAAAGUCGACUACGUGUAGUUGUUUGCAAGUACCUACAGAAUAAGCAUCGGCUAACUCCGUGCCAGCAGCCGC